Molecule: small nuclear RNA, 163 nt
Filed under: Triticum aestivum (bread wheat)
Lineage: Eukaryota; Viridiplantae; Streptophyta; Magnoliopsida; Poales; Poaceae
Description: snRNA U1
Rfam family: U1 spliceosomal RNA
About the family: U1 is a small nuclear RNA (snRNA) component of the spliceosome (involved in pre-mRNA splicing). Its 5' end forms complementary base pairs with the 5' splice junction, thus defining the 5' donor site of an intron.
Source: Rfam by way of RNAcentral
AUACCUACCUGUACGAGGUCUAUAGGUGAUCAAUAAGGCUCAUGGCAUAGUUUAACGGAUCACAUUGCACUUUGUGAGCGUGUUGAUCUACCAUCUUUUUUUCGUGGGAGAAUGGAUGUCAUAAUUUAUGAAAGAAGGGGUUACGCGUUUGAGCGGCCCCUAU